RNAcentral lists this ribosomal RNA (237 nucleotides) under uncultured bacterium. RNAcentral's name for it is "partial 16S ribosomal RNA". It matches the Rfam family "Bacterial small subunit ribosomal RNA", at positions 99 to 334 of the family's 1533-position model. The record is from RNAcentral.
CGAACGGGUGAGUAACGCGUGAGGAACCUGCCUCAAAGAGGGGGACAACAGUUGGAAACGACUGCUAAUACCGCAUAAGCCCACGGCUCGGCAUCGAGCAGAGGGAAAAGGAGCGAUCCGCUUUGAGAUGGCCUCGCGUCCGAUUAGCUAGUUGGUGAGGUAACGGCCCACCAAGGCGACGAUCGGUAGCCGGACUGAGAGGUUGAACGGCCACAUUGGAACUGAGACACGGUCCAA